RNAcentral lists this long non-coding RNA (1864 nucleotides) under Paramuricea clavata. Lineage: Eukaryota; Metazoa; Cnidaria; Anthozoa; Malacalcyonacea; Plexauridae. The record is from RNAcentral.
CUCAAAAUGGCCGAUUCGCAAGAGUUCUAUAAUAGAGCCGUGACAGCCGUCCACUUCAAAGACAAAUCCUUCUAAUGCUGGUCGCCAAAACCAAACCAGGAAAUGAAACGAACAUUUCGCGAAAAGGUAUGCAACGAAAAUGUACUUUAAUGAUGCUAUUGGUCGGUGAAAUCAUUUCAAAACUGAAGCUGGAAUAAAAAAGUGACGAGCGUUCGCGAAUACUCUGCUGAUCGAGCCUGAUACGAAACAUCAAGACGGAUUUAAUUGUGGUAAGCACAUAACACAUAUCCCUGGAUAUUUCAGUUAUGUUAAUGCUGUUAUAUUUCCUCAUUACAAAACUUUAUUGUGCACUUAUAUUAUAGCGCUGUGGAAACCAAGACAGAUCAGCAGCCAGAUGAAACAAUACAAUGCAGACAUGAGCCAUUGCCAGUAUAUGUUCAGCAAGGGGAAACAGCAACGGAGCCACAUAAAGAUUCUUAAAGAUUCUCCUAAACAGUACAAAUACAUCCUACAACUUAUAAUGAAGAUAUGUAUAACAUUUUAUGCUUUCCUGAAUCCUAGUGAGAAAAAAAGUGACUUUUAGUUUUCUUUUCAUUAUGAAAUUCCAUAUUCUUUAUAUCACCUUUUCAAACUUAAUUAUUUUGAUCAUUCUGUAGGCAUGUUAAGGGCACUGUAGCACCUGCUGAUUGAUGUGUUUUAAGAGCACUUAAAUGGCUUUUUGGAAAGCCAAAUUUUGAUUUGCAUGAACAUUAACAAAAUCAAAAUGUGACUUGAAAAAAGCCAUUUAAGUGUUUUUAAAACACUUUGGUCAGCAGGCACUAAUGUGCAUUUAAACAGGAAUAAAACUAAUUAUAAGUCUUCUUUAGGUAUGGGGAUUGGUAUUGCAACUGAUGACCGAAGGCAAAUUGCUCCUAACAUAACCCCUGUCCCUCCUCCUUCAGUCAAAGAACUUGUUGAAACCCAUCAGUCUAGAUUCAACUGAUCACUGUAGACAAGUGUCUGGUACUUAAAACAAAGUGCUCUGGUUAGCUCAUAAUCCCUGAAAGGCAGUUCACCUAGGAGAAAGAACUCUUACAACCCCCCGGACCCCAAUAGUGAGUCAGGCUGUCCAUACUGGAUUCAUUGAUCUUCGGUGCACUGCAAUACACUUUCUAGGACUGGAGUAAGGAGCAAGGAGUAAUUUUAAAGAAUAAAAAAAUCAAUGUCAAUACCAAAUGUUGUGCUUGAACAUCCAAUGCAUUUAUAACUUGUCUUUUAUAAAAUGAAAUAUUACUGUUCAUAAAAGAUUUAACCCAUUGACAUGAUAAAGUCUUUCAUUUGUUAGCAAAAUUUGCUGUGGUUAGUAGACAGAGAAAGCUUAGAAUAAGUUUGAAGCAAUUUUGAACUGCAAUUUUCUUCUUUUGGUGUAUGUGUUAGAGUGAAUAAUCAAGCCACGCAAAGUAAUGUUUCCUGUAAUUUUGCUAAAACACAUAUGCCAAAAGGAGAAAAUCAAAGUUUAAAAUCGCUUGUGUGAACGGGCCUUAACAGGUGUGAAUUACCCAUGUUCUGUCAAAAUAUUAAAAUGAUCCUCCCUGUCAUGGGGAGAUAAUUGCAGUAAAAUGGAUUAAUGAAUAAUAAAGUUUCCCUCAAUGAUCAAUAACAUAAUAAAAACAUGUGCAACAAAUAUUUACAAUCUAGCAGGUUGAUACCCAGUGUAUAUCCCAUUUGGAGAAGGAUAUUGUCUCCGUAUUGCUGUAACACAACAGCUUGGAAUCACUCUCCUGUUCCGACUUCCUAACCUUCGUUGUUGCCAGAGUACGUAUUGUCUGUGAGCAGCAUGGCAAAAUUUUCAUUGUUUCUAAUAUUAUUUAACACUAAAAAGUCU